GUGCUCACUUUGGUAACACAUUUACUAAAUUUAAAACAAUACAAAGUAGAUCAGCACUGUCCUUGCAUAAGAAUGACAUGCCAAUUUCUGAUGAAUUCCAUAUUUUC
Onychomys torridus (southern grasshopper mouse) is the source of this 107-nucleotide small nuclear RNA. The record is from RefSeq and is a predicted model, not a curated record. Lineage: Eukaryota; Metazoa; Chordata; Mammalia; Rodentia; Cricetidae.